UUUUUUUUUUUUUUUUUUGUGUGUGUGUGGCUGGAGAGACAGCCAUGGGUGCUGGGAACUAAACUCUUAUAUUUUUGGUUCUAAGCCUAGACUUUAAUGGCUGAGCCAUCUCUCCAGCCUCCAACAAUAAAACAUAAUUGAGGUUCUAAUGCUUAGAAAAUGUUGGAGUUAUUCUUAGUAUAUAAUGUAUUGACUGAGAGAAAACUCAGGACACCAUGUAGUAAGACACUAGGCUUUACUUAAGCAGCAUACGAUAUUUGUGAGUAAUGAUGAUCUUGUAUGAAGGUAGGAUGGGUUGUAGCUCAUGCCUUUAAUCCCAGUACUUGAGUGGCAGAGGCAGGCAGGCUGGUCUGUGUAGUUCCAGGAUAGGAGGGAAGGUAGAACAAAUUUUGUUUAUUGCUAUUCUAAACUGUUGAUACUCUCCCUCAUUUCCACUGCUUGCCUUUCGCCAUUGUAUUUACCAUGGAGGAAGCCAUUUUAUUUUUCAGAGUUUGGGCCUUUAAACUAUCUUACAGUUAAACUCUAAUUCUAGCCUUGAGAAAAUGUUCAGUUUUAUAGGGACUGAUUGAAAUUGCUCCAAUUCACAGGGUAAUUUCAUCUAGAUGGUGGCACUUUAGAAUACAAGUUUCCCAAUCUCCAUUUAUCUUUUCUCUUUGAGAACAGUGUUUAAGACUAUUAGGAUCUCUUGAUUAGUAUCUCUGGGCUUCUGAAAAUAAUUGGCACAGUGUUACUGUUUUUUUAAAUUGUCGUAAUGGGUAGGUACAGCAGCGAGCACUGUAAAUGAUUAAAGGUCUGGGAAAGUGUAGGGUCCAGAUUAUUCGGCAUAUUAAAGAGACGGCUGGAAAGGAAACUCAGCCACUGCUCAAAUGAAGUUUGUUAAUAGUUUGGGGAUUUUUUUCAAUAAUUUAGACUCUACUAUUGUACCUGGAGAAAAUUGAGAUUCCUUCUUGAGGUUUUAGCUAGCCUUGGAUUAAAAAAUAAAUACCAUUUCCUAGUAGAAUGAGGUACCAAAAAUUAAGGUUCUACUUCCCUUUCCAUGAAGGAAGCCCUUGGUAGUCACACCUGCCUUCCAGUGACUGACACCCAAUACUCACACCAAGUCUGGCCCCUUUUAAAUAUAAAUACCUACUAAAUGAAAGGUCAGCAGGCAACUACAUUUUUGAGUGUUAACUUGAAGUUGAUACUAAAAUGGAUUGCCUUAUUAUCAGAAACACACUUGGCAUGAACGUCUAUCUUCUUUGAGACAAGUCUGAUACAAAAAGAAGCCAUCUUGUUUUGUACCUAACUAAAUAGCUAUUUGAAAUUGACAUUAAAGUUUAAAGCUUAAUACCAACAUUGAUCGUCUUAACAAGUGAGGUGCUCGAUAGAAGUAGCAAAAUGGCUGGGUAUCCUAGCACUUAGGAGGCAGAGGCUAGCCUGGUCAACUUAGGGCGUUUCAGGCCAACCAGGACUACAUAGGGAGACCUUGUCUCGAGUAGCAGCUUGAUAACAUUCACCAUUCUAAAGACGUCUAGGUUUUUCUUUGCGCUCAGUCUUCUGAUAUUAAAUUUGGAAGUAUUUUAUUAAAGGGUCAGAAUAGUAUGUAUGUAUGUAUGUAUGUAUUUAUGUAUUUAUGUAUGUAUAUAUUCAUUUAUUUAUAUUGUGAUUUUUAAGUCAGUGUUGCCCUUCAACUCACUCUAGCUUUUUAUUCCUGUUCCUUUUGCCUACAUUUCAGAAGUUACUAUAUCACAGGCCUGCACCACCAUGCCUGGCCAAAGUCUGGGUUUCUGUUUUUGUUUUUGUUUUUGUUUUUUUUGGGGGGG
This 1802-nucleotide long non-coding RNA is filed under the name Mus musculus (house mouse). Its description in RNAcentral is "long non-coding RNA chr10:42505085-42506887". The record is from RNAcentral. Lineage: Eukaryota; Metazoa; Chordata; Mammalia; Rodentia; Muridae.